AACGAACGCUGGCGGCAUGCCUAACACAUGCAAGUCGAACGAGACCUUCGGGUCUAGUGGCGCACGGGUGCGUAACGCGUGGGAAUCUGCCCUUGGGUUCGGAAUAACAGCGAGAAAUUGCUGCUAAUACCGGAUGAUGACGUAAGUCCAAAGAUUUAUCGCCCAAGGAUGAGCCCGCGUAGGAUUAGCUAGUUGGUGAGGUAAAGGCUCACCAAGGCGACGAUCCUUAGCUGGUCUGAGAGGAUGAUCAGUCACACUGGAACUGAGACACGGUCCAGACUCCUACGGGAGGCAGCAGUAGGGAAUAUUGCACAAUGGAGGAAACUCUGAUGCAGCGACGCCGCGUGAGUGAUGAAGGCCUUCGGGUCGUAAAGCUCUGUCGUAUGGGACUAACAAAAUAGAAGGUACCAUGCAAGAAAGGAAUCGGCUAACUUCGUGCCAGCAGCCGCGGUAAU
RNAcentral lists this ribosomal RNA (455 nucleotides) under uncultured bacterium. RNAcentral describes it as "bacterial SSU rRNA". It matches the Rfam family "Bacterial small subunit ribosomal RNA", at positions 29 to 524 of the family's 1533-position model. The record is from RNAcentral.